CAUAUUUGCUUUGGCCACUAGUGGACUUGUCACUUGAACAUAGACUUAUGUUGGGUCCUUGUUGAAAUGAAUGAUUCUGUCUGUCUUCUUGAGGAGACUGUAUGGUAAAAAAAUAUGGAGAGAGCUCCUACAGCAUGCCAUCCUCUUUGGAAACACACGCCACACAAAGACCUCAACCGAAGUCUGGUUUUUCUUAGAAAUAUUAGGGGUAUAUAUGUGUGUGUGUGUGUGUGUGUGUGUGUGUGUGUGUGUGUGUGUGUGUGUGUGUGUGUGUGGUGGGCAUGAGUUAGUCAAACAGAUUUUGGAUUUUGUAACAAAGCAGCAGCAGGUGGACUUGGGCACAGAGACAGAAGCAGAGUGUGUCAGUGCUGUACAGCUCUCAGCAGGAAGAUGAGCUCCAUCAAGAUAUGUUCCUAUUUUGUCAUUGUGACAGUGUUGUUGUGUGUAACCAGUUUGGUUGUAGCAGAUCCAGUGGGCCGGAUCCCCCGUCAGACAGCAGCCAGACAACAAGGGGGCGUCGUUCUUUUUUUCGUUUCCUUCCAGGGUAUCCUGAGAGAAAUCGAGUUCAACCCAAUCAUCUUCAAUCAGGUGUUGGUGAACCAGGGCUCCGCCUACAACAAUGACACAGGUGUGUUCACGGCACCGGUCGCUGGAAUCUACCAGUUCGUGUUUGCUGCUCAGCUCUGCCGCGGAGACCACAACAACUUGUGGAUCUUCAUGCUCAAGGGCUCCAAGGACAUGGCCUGUCAUGCUCAGGUUUCUGGUGGUGACACAACCCUGAACACCUGCUACCUCAUGGAGGAACUGAAGAAAGGUGACCAGGUGUGGGUAAAGCAGAAUGUGGGGAGUUGCGCCUGGGCCAGCACUCACUCCAAAACCAUCACCUUCUCUGGCGUCCUGUUGGCAAGUGAGGGUGUGUCCAUGCUUGGGGGGAAGUAUGGCUCCUGUCCACUGGCCAGCCUGAGCCACAAAAGGGAGAUGGUGUCCGGCUCUACAGGCCAGAGUGCCGCUUGGUCUAAUGUGGCCAUCACUCUGCUGCUCUGCUGUCUCCUCUGGGAUUAAUCAUGGAACAGCGACUGUAGAAACAUGGCAGUUCAACAUGGCAGACUUCACGGAAGGUGGCCCUCGCAUAUCACAUUCUCCUCUUUCACAAUGUAGUGACAUAUAUCUGAACAUCUGUUUACUUUCUUUCAAUUCUACAGUAAAAGCUAAUGGUAAAUACAGAGAACUGCUAUCUGUUGUUUUUAGAUCAUUUUGAUAAUCACCUCACAAUUAGUCGCUCCCAACCUGGGGGUCGCCAACACUAGGGGUCGCCAAAGCCUCAUGCCUUCUUGAUUUUAAGGUGUGUACGGAAAGUAGGCCUGUAUCUCAGCAUUUGGUUCACUUCUGUGAAGAAAAGUAAGGGUAUUAGAAAGGAGUGAAAGCUCACCGAGGAGAACUAGGCCGAUGAAGAGCAAAGAGCACAACUCCUCAUAAACUUGACGGUUUGUGGGAGGGUCUUAUGGAGUCAUAGCAGAGAGCGAGGCGGAAGGAUUUGCAUACGUUUUGGCUACUGCAGCUUUAAUAUAGCUGGAAACAGGGGGCUGUAAAACCAUGACAACAAGACAAUGAGCUAAAAAAGACUGAAAAGUGUGUUGAUCACAACCAUCGACAUAAAAGAUGGAUUUUGCGUCUCCACUUCCUCACGCUGUACAAAAAUGAAGCCAAAAUAUCCCGGAUACGGCCGCUGCUACCUUGCUCAGGUGACGUCAUUCAGAGCCAGUCUGGCACCGUGAUAUUGCAGUCCCGCCCAUACGCCCGGCCAACUCAAUCGUGAGCAGGACUCAGCUGUCAAUCAUGACGUGAAACCCCUUUUUAUAGCUUUUAAUAAUUAAAACUGAACCUAUCAGAAAAAUGAACACUAGAACAUACGUCAGUUUGAUGAAAACUAAAAAGACAGAAACCAUCUUUGGUGUAUUCUGUUGGUCUAUCUUUGGUCUAUCGUUUAUUUGACGUGUACUUUUAGUACUUUUAGUUGUCCCAUCUGCUAACAUGGAGGCAGCAGGC
RNAcentral lists this long non-coding RNA (2046 nucleotides) under Dicentrarchus labrax (European seabass). RNAcentral's name for it is "lncRNA (ENSDLAG00005023377.2)". Lineage: Eukaryota; Metazoa; Chordata; Actinopteri; Moronidae. The record is from RNAcentral.